Molecule: long non-coding RNA, 242 nt
Filed under: Apteryx owenii (little spotted kiwi)
Lineage: Eukaryota; Metazoa; Chordata; Aves; Apterygiformes; Apterygidae
Description: lncRNA (ENSAOWG00000001913.1)
Source: RNAcentral
UAUUUUCAGCAUUGGAUGACAUAAUGACAUUUCACUGUUCAAGCUUUUUAAUGAUACAUACUGAAGAAAGAAGAUAAUUUUUGUCGCUUGGACAAGUUAGCAUCAUUUCAUGAUUACUGCUAUAGGAAACUGAUGAGAAAUUAAGAAGAUCAGAGAAGGAUCCAAGAGUGAAUAUGUAUUCUUAAAUCAAUUUUAGGUUUUUAGAAACAACACCUUUGCAGAUGCAGACAUGUGGCAAUCAG